AGGAGGGCCUCGAAGAGGUGCGGAGCCGGGCCGGUACCGGUGGGCGCCGCGCUCCUGCCCCGGGCCGCAGAUUGAACAAUGAUCCAUGGUUACAUUUUUGUAUGCAUGCAAAACCAAAUUAGCCACAGUUGCCAACCAAUGACAUUAAGUUAGCUGGAAUCCCUGCUCAGGAAGAAAGUAUGUUGACCAGGGUGGAAACAGAAACCACAGGCUGGGGUAGUAAUUCAUUUCAGAUUGCAAAGGAAGUGAAAAACAUUGUUGGGUGCUGCAGACUUUUUGACUACAGCCACGCAGGAUGGAUAAAGAGGCACACACUAAGGCAAAUUCUGGAGAUCACCUGUUUUAGGAUGAAGGACUUG
This is a long non-coding RNA of Falco peregrinus (peregrine falcon), 359 nucleotides long. RefSeq lists it as uncharacterized. The transcript is spliced from 3 exons. The record is from RefSeq and is a predicted model, not a curated record. Lineage: Eukaryota; Metazoa; Chordata; Aves; Falconiformes; Falconidae.